UGCAGUCGAGCGGAACGAUGAURGCUUGCUAUCAGGCGUCGAGCGGCGGACGGGUGAGUAAUACUUAGGAAUCUACCUAGUAGUGGGGGAUAGCUCGGGGAAACUCGAAUUAAUACCGCAUACGACCUACGGGAGAAAGGGGGCAGUUUACUGCUCUCGCUAUUAGAUGAGCCUAAGUCGGAUUAGCUAGAUGGUGGGGUAAAGGCCUACCAUGGCGACGAUCUGUAGCUGGUCUGAGAGGAUGAUCAGCCACACCGGGACUGAGACACGGCCCGGACUCCUACGGGAGGCAGCAGUGGGGAAUAUUGGACAAUGGGGGCAACCCUGAUCCAGCCAUGCCGCGUGUGUGAAGAAGGCCUUUUGGUUGUAAAGCACUUUAAGCAGUGAAGAAGACUCCRUGGUUAAUACCCAUGGACGAUGACAUUAGCUGCAGAAUAAGCACCGGCUAACUCUGUGCCAGCAGCCGCGGUAAUACAGAGGGUGCAAGCGUUAAUCGGAAUUACUGGGCGUAAAGCGAGCGUAGGUGGCUUGAUAAGUCAGAUGUGAAAUCCCCGGGCUUAACCUGGGAACUGCAUCUGAUACUGUUAGGCUAGAAUAGGUGAGAGGAAGGUAGAAUUCCAGGUGUAGCGGUGAAAUGCGUAGAGAUCUGGAGGAAUACCGAUGGCGAAGGCAGCCUUCUGGCAUCAUAUUGACACUGAGGUUCGAAAGCGUGGGUAGCAAACAGGAUUAGAUACCCUGGUAGUCCACGCCGUAAACGAUGUCUACUAGUCGUUGGGUCCCUUGAGGACUUAGUGACGCAGCUAACGCAAUAAGUAGACCGCCUGGGGAGUACGGCCGCAAGGUUAAAACUCAAAUGAAUUGACGGGGGCCCGCACAAGCGG
This 881-nucleotide ribosomal RNA is filed under the name Psychrobacter sp. 62B4_12ER2A. Its description in RNAcentral is "bacterial SSU rRNA". It matches the Rfam family "Bacterial small subunit ribosomal RNA", at positions 56 to 932 of the family's 1533-position model. The record is from RNAcentral. Lineage: Bacteria; Pseudomonadati; Pseudomonadota; Gammaproteobacteria; Moraxellales; Moraxellaceae.